Molecule: long non-coding RNA, 953 nt
Filed under: Eucalyptus grandis
Lineage: Eukaryota; Viridiplantae; Streptophyta; Magnoliopsida; Myrtales; Myrtaceae
Description: long non-coding RNA (EGRA_LNC003426)
Source: RNAcentral
UCGUGCGACGCUUUCCCUGCUGUCCCAGUACAAGUGCUAAGCCAGAGUAAAGCUUCCCUCACCGCUAGGGUUUCGGCGACGGGAGCUGAGGUCGCACAGAUGGACUUCGUGAAUCCGUCGAUGAGGAGGCCGCCGCUGUUUCGGACAAUGCCCGCAACCGAACCUAGCGUCGUGGAGGAAGACCAGGCGCUAUCCACGUUGAUUUUACAGGUUCGGGGUUUGUUGGUUUUUCUGUUCACCAGAUCUGGGUGGGUAAUAGUUGUUUUCGGGUUCUUAUACGGGAGCAUCAUGGAGGUUGCAUCUUCAAGGGCCUGCGUGGGGUUUGGUCGACGGUUUUGGAAAACCAGGGCAUUUCUUGAUUUCCAUAUCUGCCAUAGAGUGCCUGCGAACAGGGUCUUGGUCUGAGGAGCUGCCGUCGAGGUAAGGAUGUCACAAAUCCAUGCGUCUAUACGGCUUAUAUUCUUCGGGGAGGUGUUAUGAUAGACCUAAUUGACAAGAGCAGAGUUUGGUCAUUUAGGAGUAGAAUCAUGGGUAACUUGAAGAGAAUUGGCAGCUCAUCAAUAAAGCCAUUAGCGACACAAAAUAUGAAGUUAUCAAUUAGAACCUUGAAGUUGACCGACAAAGUCAUCGAUAUCAAAAGCAAGCAAUCAAUAAGAGGAUAACUGUAGGUUGGUUAUUUUGCCGCUAUUUUAGGAUUGUUGUAACUUAUCAUAACCACUAUGAAGUAAUAUCUUUUUCAAUAUCCAUUUGUAACCUCCAUUUGGUAACUGUUUGUAACAUCUGUUUUUGAUUUCCCUUUGUAACCUUCAUCAAUAACCAUCCAUUGUAGGCUUUAAAUAGCCAUAUCAUACUCUUCGGAGACCCCUCACACAAAUCAAACAAAUUUACUAUCUUUUAGUAUCUUUACUUUCUUGCAUCAUAAUUCUACUUUCCAGACUCGAAUUGUCGAUUUA